This 1096-nucleotide long non-coding RNA is filed under the name Androctonus crassicauda. Lineage: Eukaryota; Metazoa; Arthropoda; Arachnida; Scorpiones; Buthidae. The record is from RNAcentral.
GCAAACUGGUACAUUCAUCAGACCACCACACCAUCGUCUGGGGCAUGUAUCCGAAUAUUUGUAGCCGUAUGUCAUCAUUCCAAGAGUAGCCAGCAGGCCAUCUCUUAAAGAACAAAAGAUCAUCAGACAUUACUACAAAUUCAGCUUACAGUAGACUUGUUAAUUUCUUCAAUUGAAAUGGGCUUAUCUUCUAAUCAACCUGAUUCCUUAUGGGUCGUGACUGUGAUUUAUGCCAUUGGCUCUUUCUGCUGAUAAUGCAGCCAUACCCACCAUAUAAGAAUGGAUGGUUCUACAAAAUACAGUCAAUAUUUAGUUGAUGGUCAUUUAGUCCGUGAUUGCCCUUCCCACUACCUGUGAUAUUGUUUUGGUGGGUAUGGUGCCUAUUUAGGAUCAGAUGUCAGCGCAGAGGAUCUGCGCAGCAUCAGUCUUCUAGUCUGUGAUGCUGUGAUGCCUCAAAUAAAAAACUUCUAUUUUUGCAAAGAUCCGGACUUCUAAAAGAAGAAAGCUGUAUUUUUAAUAACGUUACUCCAACUUCGUUGAAGAGUGAAGAUUUGAAAGUGUGCGUGGUCAGUGCCACUCACAGAAAUAGAUGUAUUUGAAACCAAUCACCGGAUCACUGCAACCAACAGAUUGAUAGGACAAAAACAAACUAAAAUUGUGUACAGACCUUCCAGAAAAAGUCUGUUUGAGUUGUGCUUGUAUUGUUGCUCAAGUGCCUGACUUUGGCUUCCGAACUGUAUCAAAUCAACUUAUUACUGUGCACCUUCCAUGGAGCAGCAAGUCCGAGAAUAUUUGAACCACUGCCUUGUACCUGUGACUUCAGAAGCCGCUGCAUCAGUUUCUGGUCCAGGUCCAGGUCCUGGUCCUGGACCAGGACAUGGUGGUCCUCCACCUCCACCAGGCCCAGCUGGAUGCAUGGGUAAUCGUAUACUGUCUCGGAAUGCAAAUGGAACAAGCAAACUGGUACAUUCAUCAGACCACCACACCAUCGUCUGGGGCAUGUAUCCGAAUAUUUGUAGCCGUAUGUCAUCAUUCCAAGAGUAGCCAGCAGGCCAUCUCUUAAAGAACAAAAGAUCAUCAGACAUUACUACAAAUU